CAUCAAGCCGCAGGGUGGUCUUAGGGACCCCCGGAACAUCUGUCUCCCUCCUCAGACGCGGGUGCAGGAAGCCAGGCAGGGGCGGUGCCCCGCGGCCUGGGUCUCUCCGUCCGCCCGCAGACCACGGCUCGGCGCGCGCGCGCGGGGCGCCCCCUCGUGGACAUGCUGCGCUCUGCUCGCAGCAAGCCCCAGCCCCGAGCUCGCCUACGUGGGGAACCGGAAAACCACCGAGUUCAUCGCAAAUACAGAAAAGGAAACGGGAUGUGCACAAUCCGAAACCGCACAGAGAAGGCAUCAGUUCCUUUUCAUCUGUAACCAGGCCCUCACUUAACUCCUUAACCACUUGUCUCUCAAACAUGAGGCGACUUGUCGCUUUAAAUGGUCCCAGGACGUACCACAGGGACGCCGCACGGUGUCAGCAGAGCAUGUCCCCACCCCCUGGCAUGUAGACCCAAGGUCACUGUGUUCCUUGCCCAUCGCUCCAAUUGCCAUUGUUACCGUAUUGUCCACAGCCCGGCCUGGGUCCCACGGACAGCAGCCCUGAAGGGGUCUUCGGGGCAGGCCCUGUGGAGAGGGGACAGAGGACCGCCCGCCGUCUCCGGCUCAGUCACUCUGCCUUGUCUUGGUCUGAGCCAGUUUUUCGAUUUCUGCAGAAUUGCAAGAUGGGCCCCUCAGACUUCCCUCCUUUCAAAUCAACAGGAAAUUUGUGGUUAUAAUAAUGAAAAUACUGAGUGGACCUCCAGAGCCUGAUCACUCAUUAGAGAAGACCCAGAAGUGGCUGUCCCCCUCCCCCGACUCGUUCUGCACAGCGAGACUCAUUUCUUCCUCUUAAAAGGGGUAUCUCUGUGCCUGAUCUGUGUUACCAACGGUAACGUGCCUGUGAGCCCGAGCUGGGCCAGGGAGAGCUGAAUCCUGAGCCGCUCACAGCCCUUGAACCCUGGAGUCCUGGGGCUGCCCCAGACAGAAAAUCAGAGAAAACGCCACAUUCCAGGGGGAGGAUUCAAGAAGGCAGAGUAUGUAACAGACAGAAUGAUGGCCCCCAAAGAUGUCCACACGCUAAUCCCUAGAGCCUGUGAAUGUGUAAGCUUGCAGGGCAAAGGGGACUUUGCAGGUGUCAUGAGGUUAAAGAUCUCGGGACAGAGAGGUUAUCCAGGUGUGGCCUAAGUGUAAUCACAAGUUUGUAAGAAGGACGCAGAGGGAGAUGUGACUACAGAUGGGAUAGGAGGGGAUGUGAUGACAAAAGAGACUGUAGUGACUCCAUCGGUCCAGAAGUGCUGGCGACCACCGGGAACCUGAAGAAGCAAGGAACAGAUUCUCCCCCUAGAACCUCCAGAAAGAACCAACCCUUGGCGACACCUUGAUUUCAGCCUCGUGAGACUCAGUUGGGACCUUUGGACUGCAGAACUGUAAGCGAAUGCAUUUGUUUUGUCUGAGCCACUAAAUGUAAGUUUAACCCCUGCUCCCUUGAGAGGAUCCAGGAUCCACCUCCUGGCCUUUCCUAGCUUCUAGAACUGCGUUCUGUGCCUCGCGGCCCCUUCCUCCAUCGUCAAAGCCAGGGGUGCGGCAACUUCUCCCUCUUGCUCUGCCUUGAGCUACUUUUCUUCUGUGUUCCAAACUCCCUUUGCUUUGGAGAUUGUUUCCAAUCUCCUCUUAUAGGAGUGUUUGUAGGGGCGGGGCUCCUGGGUGGCCCAGCGGGUUAAGCGUCCAACUCUUGAUUUCGGCUCAGGUCAC
This is a long non-coding RNA of Leopardus geoffroyi (Geoffroy's cat), 1731 nucleotides long. RefSeq lists it as uncharacterized. The record is from RefSeq and is a predicted model, not a curated record. The transcript is spliced from 3 exons. NCBI's taxonomy places the organism in Eukaryota, Metazoa, Chordata, Mammalia, Carnivora, Felidae.